RNAcentral lists this ribosomal RNA (798 nucleotides) under Salegentibacter sp. D49-PB-A05. RNAcentral describes it as "bacterial SSU rRNA". It matches the Rfam family "Bacterial small subunit ribosomal RNA", at positions 30 to 817 of the family's 1533-position model. Lineage: Bacteria; Pseudomonadati; Bacteroidota; Flavobacteriia; Flavobacteriales; Flavobacteriaceae. The record is from RNAcentral.
GUAACUCNACGCGGCAGGCCUAACACAUGCAAGUCGAGGGGUAACAUAGGAAAGCUUGCUUUUCUGAUGACGACCGGCGCACGGGUGCGUAACGCGUAUACAACCUACCUUUUAGCGGGGAAUAGCCCAGGGAAACUUGGAUUAAUGCCCCAUAGUAUAUAAACUUCUCCUGAAGUUUAUAUUAAACAUUUAUGGCUAUUAGAUGGGUAUGCGUCCUAUUAGUUAGUUGGUAAGGUAACGGCUUACCAAGGCAGCGAUAGGUAGGGGUCCUGAGAGGGAGAUCCCCCACACUGGUACUGAGACACGGACCAGACUCCUACGGGAGGCAGCAGUGAGGAAUAUUGGACAAUGGGCGAGAGCCUGAUCCAGCCAUGCCGCGUGCAGGAAGACUGCCCUAUGGGUUGUAAACUGCUUUUACAGAGGAAGAACCACCCCCACGUGUGGGGGUUUGACGGUACUCUGCGAAUAAGGAUCGGCUAACUCCGUGCCAGCAGCCGCGGUAAUACGGAGGAUCCAAGCGUUAUCCGGAAUCAUUGGGUUUAAAGGGUCCGUAGGCGGGCAGUUAAGUCAGUGGUGAAAGUCUUCCGCUCAACGGGAGAACUGCCAUUGAUACUGAUUGUCUUGAGUUAUUAUGAAGUGGUUAGAAUGAGUAGUGUAGCGGUGAAAUGCAUAGAUAUUACUCAGAAUACCGAUUGCGAAGGCAGAUCACUAUUAUUAUACUGACGCUGAUGGACGAAAGCGUAGGUAGCGAACAGGAAUAGAUACCCCUGGUAGUCUACGCCGUAACCGAUGGGUACU